GCCCUCGUAGCUCAACUGGAAGAGCGCCAGAUUCCGGAUCUGGAGGCCGGCGGUUCGAAUCCGUCCGGGGGUA
Molecule: transfer RNA, 73 nt
Filed under: uncultured Gemmatimonadota bacterium
Lineage: Bacteria; Pseudomonadati; Gemmatimonadota
Description: uncultured Gemmatimonadetes bacterium tRNA-Arg-CCG
Rfam family: tRNA
About the family: Transfer RNA (tRNA) molecules are approximately 80 nucleotides in length. Their secondary structure includes four short double-helical elements and three loops (D, anti-codon, and T loops).
Source: RNAcentral